RNAcentral lists this ribosomal RNA (253 nucleotides) under uncultured bacterium. Its description in RNAcentral is "partial 16S ribosomal RNA". It matches the Rfam family "Bacterial small subunit ribosomal RNA", at positions 524 to 776 of the family's 1533-position model. The record is from RNAcentral.
UACGUAGGGGGCUAGCGUUGUCCGGAUUUAUUGGGCGUAAAGAGCGUGUAGGCGGCCAGAUAGGUCUGCUGUGAAAACUCGAGGCUCAACCUCGAGCUGUCGGCGGAAACCAUCUGGCUAGAGUCCGGAAGAGGAGAGUGGAAUUCCUGGUGUAGCGGUGAAAUGCGCAGAUAUCAGGAAGAACACCUAUGGCGAAGGCAGCUCUCUGGGACGGUACUGACGCUGAGACGCGAAAGCGUGGGGAGCGUACAGG